UACGGGGGGGGGCAAGCGUUGUUCGGAAUUACUGGGCGUAAAGGGCUCGUAGUUGGCCAACUAAGUCAGACGUGAAAUCCCUCGGCUUAACCGGGGAACUGCGUCUGAUACUGGAUGGCUUGAGAUUGGGAGAGGGAUGCGGAAUUCCAGGUGUAGCGGUGAAAUGCGUAGAUAUCUGGAGGAACACCGGUGGCGAAGGCGGCAUCCUGGACCAACACUGACACUGAGGAGCGAAAGCCAGGGGAGCAAACGGG
RNAcentral lists this ribosomal RNA (254 nucleotides) under uncultured bacterium. RNAcentral describes it as "partial 16S ribosomal RNA". It matches the Rfam family "Bacterial small subunit ribosomal RNA", at positions 524 to 776 of the family's 1533-position model. The record is from RNAcentral.